GAAAACUUCUUGGCGCACACGUUGCACACGCAGGUCUAAUGGUUUUCUGGUGUGGUGCAAUGACAU
This 66-nucleotide transfer RNA is filed under the name Prymnesium neolepis. Lineage: Eukaryota; Haptophyta; Prymnesiales; Prymnesiaceae. The record is from RNAcentral.